CUACGGGCUGCAGCAGUGAGGAAUUUUGCGCAAUGGGGGAACCCUGACGCAGCAACGCCGCGUGAGUGAUGAAGGCUUUCGGGUCGUAAAGCUCUGUCAAGUGGGAAGAACCUAUGCAGUGUUAAUAUCACUGUAUACUGACGGUACCACUGAAGGAAGCACCGGCUAACUCCGUGCCAGCAGCCGCGGUAAUACGGGGGGUGCAAGCGUUAUUCGGAAUCAUUGGGCGUAAAGGGCACGUAGGCGGCUUGGUAAGUCAGAUGUGAAAGCCCGGGGCUUAACCCCGGAAGUGCAUUUGAUACUGUCAGGCUUGAGUAUGGGAGAGGGAAGUGGAAUUCCUGGUGUAGAGGUGAUAUUCGUAGAUAUCAGGAGGAACACCGGUGGCGAAGGCGACUUCCUGGACCAAUACUGACGCUGAGGUGCGAAGGCGUGGGUAGCAAACAGGAUUAGAUACCCUCGUAGUC
Molecule: ribosomal RNA, 464 nt
Filed under: uncultured bacterium
Lineage: Bacteria
Description: partial 16S ribosomal RNA
Rfam family: Bacterial small subunit ribosomal RNA
Source: RNAcentral